GUGGGGUAAUGGCCUACCAAGGCUAUGACGGAUAGCUGGUCUGAGAGGAUGAUCCGCCACACUGGGACUGAGACACGGCCCAGACUCCUACGGGAGGCAGCAGUGGGGAAUUUUGGACAAUGGGGGCAACCCUGAUCCAGCCAUUCCGCGUGAGUGAAGAAGGCCUUCGGGUUGUAAAGCUCUUUCGGCCGAGAGCAAAUCCUUUGAUCUAAUACAUCUGAGGGAUGAGAGUAUCGGAAGAAGAAGCACCGGCUAACUACGUGCCAGCAGCCGCGGUAAUACGUAGGGUGCGAGCGUUAAUCGGAAUUACUGGGCGUAAAGCGUGCGCAGGCGGUUUUUUAAGCCAGAUGUGAAAUCCCCGGGCUUAACCUGGGAACUGCAUUUGGAACUGGAAGACUAGAGUGUGUCAGAGGGGGGUGGAAUUCCACGUGUA
RNAcentral lists this ribosomal RNA (433 nucleotides) under uncultured bacterium. Its description in RNAcentral is "bacterial SSU rRNA". It matches the Rfam family "Bacterial small subunit ribosomal RNA", at positions 252 to 677 of the family's 1533-position model. The record is from RNAcentral.